Long non-coding RNA from Hyaena hyaena (striped hyena), 2492 nucleotides. RefSeq lists it as uncharacterized. NCBI's taxonomy places the organism in Eukaryota, Metazoa, Chordata, Mammalia, Carnivora, Hyaenidae. The transcript has 2 exons. The record is from RefSeq and is a predicted model, not a curated record.
CGGAGGCCCCGCGGCCGGCGGUCGCGGCGGGGGCGGCGCGGCGCCUGCCCGCGCUCGCCAGCAGGCCGUGGUCGGGCGCCCGAGCCGGGCUUCGGCCUAGCCUGGCCGCCGCCGCCGCCGCCGCCGCCGCCGCGCCGCCGCGCAGCGCGUAGGGAGGAAGAGGAAAUGCCCGGCCGCCGGCGCCCGCCGCUCUUCGGUACUGCCGGCCCGCGUGGCCCGUAGGGCACCCGCCUGCCCGGCCGCCCCAGCUCCGUCUGGGGCCUACCCGGGUCUCGGCUGUGGGCGCCCCCGCCGCUGGGCUGGGCUGAUCGCGGGCGGCGGGCACUGCCCGGCGACGAGCUGCGGCUCCGAGGGGCCCUGGCCCUCGGGCGCAUUGCUGGCCAGCCGGCCGGGGAAGCUAGCUUUGGGCCCCGACCCCGAGGAGAGGCUGCGGACUGCCUGGGGACAUGUAUUUGUGUUUCUUUUUAAACCAGCGUCUCGGAAGGGAGAGGCGGCAGGCCUCCGGUCGUCGUUGGGUGUUGAGAGGCCGGGUGACUCGCGGUCGGGAGAGGGCGUGGGCUCAAGAGGCAGCCGGACAUGGCUGCUGAGCCCCAAGGCCGCCUCCUCGCGACCAUCUCUUUGAAGACUCCGCGCCCGCCAGCCCAAGUGUCCGGGGGGGACCCGCGCAGAGUUUGUUCCAGCACCUUGCUCACCUUGAAUGCGCUGCUUGGAAAACUUUUGGAGGUCGUAUUAAUUCAACGAAUAUUUAUACGACCCCUUAGCACGUGUCGGUGGAAGUGUGGUUCGAUGGAAAUGGACCAUGCCUCGGAGUCAAGACAGAUCUGCCAUCGGAUUCUGGUUCUGAUACACUCUGUGUAACCUUGGCAAAUUAUUUAACCUUGCUGAGUCUCCUUUUUUUUUUUUUUUUUUUUAUUUGUCCUAUGUUCGCUUUUGGUUAUUUCAGUUUACUCUUUUAUAUUUGAAAUUGUUCCGGGCUUUUUGGUUUGUGUGUGUGUGUAAAAUAGAAGUCUGUUGCUAGGCGAAGGCUAUUCUUGAUCCUGUACACCAUUACUAGCUGUGUGACCUGGGGCAGCGCAUGGCAGCCUUCUGUGGCUUGAUUUCCCCAUCUUUAAAAUGUCCCAGAUUACAAAUGAUAAUACGGCUAAUAAUGACAAUAACAGUUGGUAUUUGGAAGAUUUAGUGCCAAAAUGUGUAUAAAAUACGUAGCACAGGACAUAGUAUAGUGUUUGUUACCAUGUUUGAUUAAAUCUGAUUUCAAGCAUAUUAAAAAGCUUGUUUUAAAGUCCAGGAAUAGGUAUUAGGUCACUCAGAUCUACCAAAGGACUCCAUUUGGUAGUAACUAGUGAUAUACUGUCAGCCAAAUAAGGUUUAAGCAAAUGGGGAUUUAAACGAGGACUUUGUCACCAGAAAUAUUUCCGUUGCACUCAAUGGAGCUUUUGCCUAAAUUAAGUCCAGCACAGCUGUUGAAGAAAGAGGUCCACCCAGGCCAUUAUUGGGGUUUGGUGGAGUAGAGAACCUGGCUUCCAGCAAGUCUGGCUGACAUUUAUAGAACCUGUGCCUUUCUAAGCACUUUACAGUAUUGGUGUGUGUGAUCCUGGGUACCGAACACUAAGGAGCUUCUGGGUGUUGGGCUUUAAAAGCGAGGACAGCACCACCCUACAGUUUUGUGAUGACUAGAUGAUGUCUGUAAAUAUAUUAAGGUACAGACAUUAAGGCAUUGUCAGUAGUAUACAUGGCUGGAGGAGGGAAGAGAAGCAACAAAAAUAAAUUGACUCCAGGAAGAAAUAAGAGUAAGUAUAGAGGUUUAGUUUGUUUCAGUUUGGAGAGUUGUUAGCUCAUUCUGUUAAGGAGAGCAAACAGAAAAAGUGUCUAAACCUCAAGGGAAUAUCAGAUCUUUGACAGUUAUUUCACUGUUUGCAGUCAGUCAAAAGUAAGAAAAUGAAAAUGACUAAACAUUUUUCUUCUUUGCAUAAGCCUAAGGAGGAAUAUUACAGUUAUCUGGGGUUUUCAUGGCUGAAGGAAACAUUUCCUCAAUUCAGUUAGAGGUCAGGCCCUUCACUUUAAAACAACCUUCUGCUUGCUGUUCAGCCGUAUAGGAGAUUUCCUUUCCAGAAAGAUCAAGUGCUUUACCAAAUUGCCCAUCAGAUGAUUUCUGUUCUUCAGAAAUGGUUCUUCCAGUCCUUUCCACUCCCUGUACCUCCUUUUGAGUUUGUCCAAUGUCCUUGCCUCGCUAACCCAUCUUCCAUACUGUGGCCCAAUUAUGUUCUGUAAAACAAGCUAAUGCAUGUAAACACUGGUGAAAUCUGAAUAAGGUCUGUAGCCUAGUUAUUUGCAUUGUGCUAAUAUCAGCUUCCCGGCUUUGAUAGUUUUCUAUAGUUUUGUAAAAUGUUACUACCAUUGGAGGGAGCUGGGUGAAUGCACAUGGGCCCUCUCUGCAAUUUCCUGUGAGUAUAUUAUCAUUUCAGACUAAAAAAUUAUAGAGAUAGAAAUCA